GCGCAGCAGUCGCGAAACCUUUGCAAUGCGCGAAAGCGUGACAAGGUGACUCCGAGUGCUCAUGCGUAAGCAUGAGCUUUUCCCGAGUGUAAACAGCUCGGGGAAUAAGGGCCGGGCAAUACCCGUGCCAGCCGCCGCGGUAAUACGGGAGGCCCGAGUGGUGCCCGCGAUUACUGGGCUUAAAGCGUCCGUAGCCGGUCCGGUAAGUCCUUGGUGAAAGCCCCAGGCUUAACCUGGGGAGGUGCCAAGGAUACUGCCGGUCUAGGGGAGCGGGAGAGGCGAGGGGUACUCCGGGGGUAGCGGUGAAAUGCGUUGAUCCUCGGGGGACCACCGGUAGCGAAGGCGCCUCGCUGGAACGCGUCCGACGGUGAGGGACGAAGGCCAGGGGAGCGACCCGGAUUAGAUA
Molecule: ribosomal RNA, 406 nt
Filed under: uncultured microorganism
Description: bacterial SSU rRNA
Rfam family: Archaeal small subunit ribosomal RNA
Source: RNAcentral